RNAcentral lists this transfer-messenger RNA (348 nucleotides) under Oscillospiraceae bacterium. It matches the Rfam family "transfer-messenger RNA". From Rfam's summary of the family: Bacterial tmRNA, also known as 10Sa RNA or SsrA, is named for its dual tRNA and mRNA-like properties. Its role is to liberate the mRNA from a stalled ribosome. The record is from RNAcentral. Lineage: Bacteria; Bacillati; Bacillota; Clostridia; Eubacteriales; Oscillospiraceae.
GGGGGUGUACUGGUUUCGACGGGGAUCAUCGUGCGCCAGGUAAGCGAGCCGCGGCCCCUGCACCGCGCAACAACGGGGAAAAACAACAACUGACAACAGCGAUUUCGCUUUCGCGGCCUAAGGCCGCGCGUUGGACUUAGGCGCCCACUGCCUGAGACCCCGACGUCAAUCUAGUGGGGAACGAGCCCGUCCAAGCUUUGUGACGAAGCCUGUAUUGAUGAAGCUACCGAGACCGCAAGCCUGCCGUUAGGGCGUGCGGAGGGGGGAAACCCAAAACAACGGCUGCGCUCGGAGAAGGCUUGACGUUCGGAUUUUCGGACAGGGGUUCGAUUCCCCUCACCUCCACCA